GAGACAAUGGCUCAGUGGUUAAAGACUUUUGACUGUCAAUCACUAGGUUACAGGUUCGAACCCCUAUUUUACC
RNAcentral lists this transfer RNA (73 nucleotides) under Schistosoma mansoni. The record is from RNAcentral. Lineage: Eukaryota; Metazoa; Platyhelminthes; Trematoda; Strigeidida; Schistosomatidae.